AUCCAGCUGUUAAGUCCUAAAUAGGACAAAACGCGCGUCCUGGAU
Schistosoma margrebowiei is the source of this 45-nucleotide non-coding RNA. NCBI's taxonomy places the organism in Eukaryota, Metazoa, Platyhelminthes, Trematoda, Strigeidida, Schistosomatidae. The record is from Rfam.